This 694-nucleotide ribosomal RNA is filed under the name Faecalibacterium prausnitzii. RNAcentral describes it as "bacterial SSU rRNA". It matches the Rfam family "Bacterial small subunit ribosomal RNA", at positions 432 to 1152 of the family's 1533-position model. Lineage: Bacteria; Bacillati; Bacillota; Clostridia; Eubacteriales; Oscillospiraceae. The record is from RNAcentral.
CCUGUUGUUGAGGAAGAUAAUGACGGUACUCAACAAGGAAGUGACGGCUAACUACGUGCCAGCAGCCGCGGUAAAACGUAGGUCACAAGCGUUGUCCGGAAUUACUGGGUGUAAAGGGAGCGCAGGCGGGAAGACAAGUUGGAAGUGAAAUCCAUGGGCUCAACCCAUGAACUGCUUUCAAAACUGUUUUUCUUGAGUAGUGCAGAGGUAGGCGGAAUUCCCGGUGUAGCGGUGGAAUGCGUAGAUAUCGGGAGGAACACCAGUGGCGAAGGCGGCCUACUGGGCACCAACUGACGCUGAGGCUCGAAAGUGUGGGUAGCAAACAGGAUUAGAUACCCUGGUAGUCCACACUGUAAACGAUGAUUACUAGGUGUUGGAGGAUUGACCCCUUCAGUGCCGCAGUUAACACAAUAAGUAAUCCACCUGGGGAGUACGACCGCAAGGUUGAAACUCAAAGGAAUUGACGGGGGCCCGCACAAGCAGUGGAGUAUGUGGUUUAAUUCGACGCAACGCGAAGAACCUUACCAAGUCUUGACAUCCUGCGACGCASAUAGAAAUAUGUGUUUCCUUCGGGACGCAGAGACAGGUGGUGCAUGGUUGUCGUCAGCUCGUGUCGUGAGAUGUUGGGUUAAGUCCCGCAACGAGCGCAACCCUUAUGGUCAGUUACUACGCAAGAGGACUCUGGCCAGACUGC